Molecule: long non-coding RNA, 5843 nt
Organism: Myotis daubentonii (Daubenton's bat)
Lineage: Eukaryota; Metazoa; Chordata; Mammalia; Chiroptera; Vespertilionidae
Source: RefSeq, a predicted model, not a curated record
GGAAAGGGGACACCACCCUGCGUCGGAGCCGGGCGCCGCGGAAGCCGGGCGCCGAGGAAGCCUGCAGCCGCGGAGCCACGUGCUGGAGCCGGAGCCGGCAGGGCCCCGGCUCUACAAGUGAUGCCAGCCCAGGGAGGGGGCGCCUGAAUCUCGUCUCGCGGGCAGAGGUAGCACACCAGCCGGGUGAACAGAGCCCAUCGGGUCUGUCCAGAGCUGCUCGUCCUCACAGCCUCCAGCGACCACGUGAGCUGCUUCUUGCCUCAUAGGACCCUCCUUCAAUCUCCUGCAGAGCAAGAGCUCUCGGCCUGUCUCCUUGGGCAGCCUUUUCCCAAGUGUGCGGGUGGGCGGCUCAUUUCUGCCAAGCGACUCCAGCCCAAAAUAGCAUUGAACCAGACUUCUGGGAAGCCCUGCGCUCCCGGCCUCUGUAGAAAAAAAGUGAGAAAUGACAGCUCUUGGGAAACCAAGGGGGCUAAUUUGCUGAGACGGGACAAGAUGCAGAGCCCUGUGACCUCAGAGGGCAAAAAUAGUGGCCAGGGAGGGGUACAGAGCGUGUUAGGGUGGCAGGUCCCCGGCCUGUGUGGCUGCCCUUCUGGGAAGUUGGUGGGCUGGGCCAGUGGGGAUGAUCCUGGGAGCCAAGGCCAGGUGCAGGAGGAGGCGGUGGCCAGAUACUUAAACCACAAACACCACAACCCCCAACUUCCACAUUUGUUCUUCAGGCUGAGAACUCUCCUGGUGGGGGUGGCCUCCUCCGCUAUUUCAAAUCCUGAUCUCUCGUGGUUCAGGCUUGGGCCAGGUCCCUGGCCACCUUGUCUGGGAAGCUGCUUUCUCCCAUCCCACUGAGUGCUCUUAGCCCUGGGCACCUCCACGGAACCUUGCCAUGCUUUGCCUGCCUGGCCUGAGAGGUUUUGCUGUAUUCAACUUCCCGUUCUAUCCAGAAGCCCCCACCAUCCCCCCAGCCCCGGAAUGUCACCUUCGCAGCUCCCUCUCGGUGGAGGUGGAAGUCCUGGGGAAGUGCAUUCAUUAGCUGUCAGCCUGCCCUCUUCUGCCCUUGUGCCCUGAGAAGCCUUCUUAGUGUCUGCUGGGACUUCCUGUUUGCUGUGUCUGCUUCCAUGGGAGCCUCAUCUUGGGUGUUGACCCAGCCUGCUCUUGGCCUGACAGCUCACCCCAGCCUCUGGGACCCUGGCUCGUCGUCCAGAUCGACUCCUGGCAGCCCUUCAGCAGGAAGAGCCUCCGCUCCCUCCCUUAGCGAUUGGAACGGAGGGAGGGGGGGGCAGAGGGCAGAGGGUUCAGUGUACGGCACCGAAACUGUGGUCUUGUGUGUACUUCCCCGCUCAGGACACAGGUGCUAACAUAACAUGUCAGGUGUAAAUGUCCAUGCAUACAAUACAGAAAGUAAAUUGGCUUCACGGAACUUUUUUCAAAGCAUCCCAAUGAAUACAAGAUUCCCCUCAUGCAUUCAGAGGGCUCGCUUUCCUUGCAACUUUUUGGGAGCAGUUGCAUUGAAAAUGAGGUAUAAGAUUAGGAGAUGAGUUAGCAGGGAUCAGACGAUGUUCAGGGGUCAGGUAAUAAAAUUCUGUAUUAUUGCAGACGCCAAAAACGUUGGAGAUGAAAGUGUGCUGAACAGGGAGCAGCUGCCAGAAGUGGUUUGGCAUAACAUCUGCGUCCCUUGGUAGCGUUUAUCACUUCACUGAGCAGCUAACCUCGAGCCAUCCAUGAGCCACAUCCUGGGGGACACUGUGUUAGGAGCCCUUGGGUCCACCCCUGGCUCUGCCAGGUCUGAGUCCUGCUCUCUGGGGCCACCUGCUUCCCUGUCUGGGCCUUGGUUUCUUUACCUGUAAAAGAUCGUUACACCUACCUCUUCGAGCUCUUUUAGGACCAGAGGAAGUGACUCCCAAUGGGCACACGGUAAAGAGUAGCUUAACAUAUUUUGGAUUUUUUUGGGGAGGGUGGGGUUAAUCCUCACCUGAGGUUUUUCAUUGAUUUUUAAAGACAGUGGAAGAGAGGGGAAGAGACAGAGAGAAACUUUGAUGUGAGAGACAAACAUCAAUUGGUUGCCUCCUGCAGACACCCCAACCUGGGGCCAAGGAAUUGAGCCUGCAAUGGAGGUACAUGCCCUUGACGGGAAUUGAACCUGAGACCCUCCAGUCCCAGGGCUGAUGCGCUCUCCACUGAGAUUUUCUUUUUUCUUUUCUUUUUUUUUUUUAAAAAAUAUAUAUUUUAUUGAUUUUUUUACAGAGAGGGAGGGGAGAGGGAUAGAGAAUUAGAAACAUCGAUGAGAAAGAAACAUUGAUCAGCUGCCUCCUGCACACCCCCUACUGGGGAUGUGCCCACAACCGAGGUACAUGCCCUUGACCGGAAUCAAACUUGACACCCUUCAGUCCACAGGCCGACGCUCUAUCCACUGAGCCAAACCGGUUAGUUCACUGAGAUUUUCUAACUAUGGGGGUAACAACUUCCUGCACUUAUAUAAUCUUUUCCAUCUGGGGUUCUUUAUUUUUUUAUUUUUAUUGAUUAAGGAAUUACAUAUGUGUGGGGGUCUUUAGAUCCAGGUUCCGUCCAGGGCAAAGAAGGUCAGCCUGAGAGAGCAAUUCGUCCUUUCAGAAGCCACGGGAGUAAAGACCCAGAUCUCUAGGCGGAAGGAAUUUUACAGCAGCACAUCUACCAACCGAUAGGGCCUGAGAGAAACCUGAUAAGGAAUCAGCCAGAGGCCUAAUCAGUGACAAAGAUGGCCUUUGCCCAGACACUGGGCCCCGAACGUGGCUUUAAUCUAGGAGGUGUUGAAAGAGCAUAAUAAAUACUUAUUCCGUCCAGUCAAGUCCAAGAGUUUGAGGGAAAACUGCAGCGUUUAGGUUGUGUGUGUGUCCCUCCGCCACGUGAGAUGUGACUCUGAGGGAAGACACUAAGCCAGACCCUGACGGUGCUGGUGGGGCCCAGAGCCUCAUGCCGGGCCCUGGACUCCUGCCCCGGUGGACGGGAGCAGGAAGCACACAUGAACCGCCUACACCGGCCGCCCUUCUGAGAGGGAGCAAGAGCUGUCCUUUGCACCUCAGCUCUUUCUGGCCCAGCUGACACCAAUUCAGGGGAGACAUGGCAUAUUGAUUUCCUAGGACUGCGUAACCACGCACCACAAACUGGGUAUCUUAAAGCAACAGAAAUUCAUUUGCUCAGAGUUCUGGAGGCGAGAGGUCUGAAAUCAAGGUGUCGGCAGGGCCAUGCCCGCUCAGAGACUGGGUUCAAUCCUUCCUUCCUUGUCUUUCCCUAGCUUCCUAGCCGUCGGGAGCUGACAAUCCUUGCGUCCCUUGGUUUAGCAGGGGUGGGGGAUGUCCGGCCCAAGGGCCGUAUCAAGCCCUCGAAAUCAUUUGGCCUGGCCUUGCCAAGGCAACCGCAGGCAGGACUCGAAAUUCAACAAAUCUAGGAGCUUUGUUCAUAGCAACAUAAAUGCAUAUUAAGUGAAUGCUAUUGAGCAAGUGAUGUUACAAAUAUCCAGAUGGCUCUUGGCAGGAAAAAGGUGCCUCACCCCUGGUUUAUAGCUACAUCGCUCCAAUCCCUGCCUCCGUUGGCACGUGGCGUUCUCCCAGCCUCUCUCUCUGUCUUCUGGUGGCAUUCUCCUCUUUAUAAGGACACUGGUCAUAGUGGAUAAGGGCCCACCCCAAGUACCUCUUCUUCACUUGAUUACAUCUGCAAAGAACCUGUUUCCUAAUAAAGCCAUAUUCACAGGGACUAGGGCUUAGGACUGCACGGUACCUCUUUUAGGGAAAACAACCCAUAAUAUAUGGUCACGGGGCUACGUUUGAUACAUGGGCUGUAGCACAAGCUGAGGGGGUAGUCAACACAGGGACAUUCCAUACGUGCUGGCGAGGGGGCCCAUGGAGGCAGCAGGUCCAUCUCUCCGGAACCUCAAACACAUCCAUGUCCUUGAAUCCAGUGAUCCGUUUCUAGGAAGUCAUUAAACAAGUUGGUAAAACCUGUGCAGAGGUAUGUCUCUCAAUGCUGUUUGUAAUAAUUAAUUACUGGGAACAACUUCAAUGUCCCACAGAUAGGGAUGGCGACUAAAAUAAGGCGUAGCCACAUGAGGGGAUAUUACAUAGCCUUUAGAAAGGAUGUUUCCAGAAAAGAAAAAUAACAGGAAAAACGAAACGAUAUGUUUUAGGCUGUUGUCAACUUUAUAAAAAUAUAUAAGGAAGGAAAAAAAUCAGCAUAAUGUUAAUGCUCUCCCCCCCUUUAUGGAGGAAUUAUGAGUGAUUUUGUUAUUUUAAAAAAUUAUGACAUUAUAUAAACUCUCUUCAUUAGCUUUAUAGCCAAGCGGGGGGCGGGGGGGGGGAACGAAUGAUCUUUAAAAAAUAGAUAUAUGAAUAGUUUCCUGGAGUAUACAUUCCAGGAGAGUUCUGGCUGGAGGAGAGCAGCAGCUGCUGGGUGUCCGGCUGAUUUCCGUGCUUAUAGGCCACACCAUCACCCCCCGGGAGCUUUUCAGCAUGUAGUUGGGUGGCUACUUGCAUCAGAAUUACCCAAGGUGCACCCGGCUGGUGUGGCUCCUAUGAACCAGGAGGUCACGGUUCGAUUCCCAGUCAGGGCACAUGCCCGGGAUGCAAGAUCGAUCUCCAGUAGGAGGGGUGCAGGGAGCAGCCGAUCCAUGAUUCUCUCUCAUCAUUGAUGUUUCUAUCUCCCUCUCCCUUCCUCUCUGGAAUCAAUAAAAAUAUAUUUUAAAAAAUAACUGCCCAUGACGGUUAUUUAAAAAUGCAGGAUUCUAGGUCCCACCCCAGACCGCCUCGAUCAGGGUCUCCGGGUGCAGGGCCCAGGAAUUAGCAUUCUCACAGGCUGCGCAUUUGAGACUGAGUUCCCCCACCCACUCAUCAGUAAUCAGUGUGGUUUGUCACACCAGUCAUCGAUGCCCUCCCAGCCCACACCGUGCUUUGAAGAAUAAAAUAAAAUAGAGAAGUUAUUCUCUUAAUAAAGUCUAUUUUUGGUUGUCUCACCUAAGAAGGGAAGCUGCAGAACACAAUAUUAAAACGAAUAGGAAAUUCAUCAUUGUGUUUUAUUUUGGAACUCGGUAGCCGCAGCUUGCGUUUCUUCGUUUAAUAAUUGAAAGGAAUUUAACAUUCCCAGACUGGUCCUAGUGUGGGGUUCAGAAAGUUGCAGGGAGACAUCAGCCCACAGUGAAAGGUUUGCCCAUUAACCAGGGGGUGUUUCAUGUGCAGGCCGUUGAGAACCGUAAUUACAGACGGUGAUUUCUUGUAACUUACAACCUUGAGGUUUCCUUUAUGGCCGGGCCGGGAGCAAUAUCAGAGGACAGAGGCCGGUGGAACGUUGUCCUCUUGAAGGCGUGUCCUGGUUCAGGGCAGGGCUGGGGUGAAGGCGGGUCGAGCCCUGCGGUGCCGGGACUUGUCGAGACCCAGGCAGGCCUGGCGUGCUCAGGGGGGGCCCAACAGCUGUGCAAUUAGACAGCUCAUCAGGGGGUGAAAUUCAACCCCACGGAGAGGCAACAGUCCAAGGUCUUAGUCCAUACAUGUUGCUUCUGGAGUUGGUCAUAGGCGCGUGGGUGAGCCGUCCUGAGAGUGAAAUACGUGUCUACACGUGGGAGCGCUCAGAAGAAAGAACCAGAAGGACAGCAACUGUGAGACUGUGCGUCUCACCCCCUGGACGUGGUCAUGUCCCCUUUCUGCGCCUUCGCACAGGUGGCCUCAGGAUGCCCCUCGCCUGAGCCCGUCUCGGGGGGAGGAGGGCAAAGGAGGUAGGCUCCGGAGGGGCGAAGAGCCGGGCACCUAAACCACACCUUCCAUUUGUGCUUUGUCAUCAUGCCCAGCACGCAGGCUGGCGGGGGCCGACCUCCCGCGGUGAGAGAGGGG